AGGAUGAACGCUAGCGGCAGGCCUAAUACAUGCAAGUCGAACGGUGGCAGCAAUGUCAUAGUGGCGCACGGGUGCGUAACACGUAACUAACCUACCUAUAACUGGGGGAUAGCCCGCCGAAAGGCGGAUUAAUACCGCAUAAGCUUGUGAGUCGGCAUCGACUUAUUAGUAAAGAUUUAUUGGUUAUAGAUGGGGUUGCGGGUCAUUAGCUAGUUGGUUGGGUAACGGCUGACCAAGGCGACGAUGACUAGGGGAGCUGAGAGGCUGGUCCCCCACACGGGCACUGAGAUACGGGCCCGACUCCUACGGGAGGCAGCAGUAGGGAAUAUUGGGCAAUGGGCGAGAGCCUGACCCAGCCAUGCCGCGUGCAGGAAGAAGGCUUUCUGAGUCGUAAACUGCUUUAGACAGGGAAGAAUAAGCACUACGUGUAGUGUGAUGACGGUACCCGCAGAAUAAGCACCGGCUAACUCCGUGCCAGCAGCCGCGGUAAUACGGAGGGUGCGAGCGUUGUCCGGAUUUAUUGGGUUUAAAGGGUGCGUAGGCGGCUUUUUAAGUCUGGGGUGAAAGCCCGCUGCUCAACAGCGGAACUGCCCUGGAUACUGGAGAGCUUGAGUACAGACGAGGUUGGCGGAAUGGACGGAGUAGCGGUGAAAUGCAUAGAUACCGUCCAGAACCCCGAUUGCGAAGGCAGCUGACUAGGCUGUUACUGACGCUGAGGCACGAAAGCGUGGGGAGCGAACAGGAUUAGAUACCCUGGUAGUCCGCGCCGUAAACGAUGGAUACUCGCUGCGAGCU
RNAcentral lists this ribosomal RNA (795 nucleotides) under uncultured bacterium. RNAcentral describes it as "bacterial SSU rRNA". It matches the Rfam family "Bacterial small subunit ribosomal RNA", at positions 26 to 828 of the family's 1533-position model. The record is from RNAcentral.